GACGGACGCUGGCGGCGUGCUUAACACAUGCAAGUCGAACGGAAAGGCCCUGCUUUUGUGGGGUGCUCGAGUGGCGAACGGGGGAGUAACACGUGAGUAACCUGCCCUUGACUUUGGGAUAUCUUCAGGAAACUGGGGCUAAUACCGGAUAGGAGCUCCUGCUGCAUGGUGGGGGUUGGAAAGUUUCGGCGGUUGGGGAUGGACUCGCGGCUUAUCAGCUUGUUGGUGUGGUAGUGGCUUACCAAGGCUUUGACGGGUAGCCGGCCUGGGAGGGUGACCGGCCACAUUGGGACUAAGAGACGGCCCAGUCUCCUACGGGAGGCAGCAGUGGGGAAUAUUGCACAGUGGGCGGAAGCCUGAGGCAGCAACGCCGCGUGCGGGAUGACGGCCUUCGGGUUGUAAACCGCUGUCGCCUGUGACGAAGAGUGAGUGACGGUAAUGGGUAAAGAAGCACCGGCUAACUACGUG
Molecule: ribosomal RNA, 468 nt
Filed under: uncultured bacterium
Lineage: Bacteria
Description: partial 16S ribosomal RNA
Rfam family: Bacterial small subunit ribosomal RNA
Source: RNAcentral